RNAcentral lists this non-coding RNA (26 nucleotides) under Rattus norvegicus (Norway rat). The record is from RNAcentral. Lineage: Eukaryota; Metazoa; Chordata; Mammalia; Rodentia; Muridae.
UGGAAAGUUUUCUGGGUAGUCUCGAC